UACAAAUUGCAUACAAAGUUUAUUCUCAUUGACUUUCUUCCAAAUGUGAUAUCAUUGAAGGUUAAAUUCAUUUUAAGUUCAUUCAAAUUUACAGUAAUUUUCAAAUGUCACAUAGGCCACUUUGCAUAUCUGCAUUUUUCUGCAUUUAUUUUAGGGGAAUUUAAAUACAGUAAAGUUUGUUACAUGGGCCUUGAGAGUAAUAAACUCUUAUUGGUACCUUAACGCAUCAUUAAAUUAAACCAAAUUAUUCAGUGAACUUGAAUAAUCACAUUAGAGGCAUUCUGUUUAAAAGUGCAGAUUUCAUAUGGGCCUGCCGAUUUUCAUUUUGCAUGGAGGUUUAGUCAAAAUAGCUUAUAUUCUGUACAAAUCAUAUUCCAGUUUGUGUAAGAGAGUUUAUUUUCUGUGACGCAGACUAAUUUAACAUAGGGUGACUGGGAAAGAAGCUUAUUUACCAGUUGCAGUCUCCUCUCCAAUGAGUAAGUCAGAUGUCAAUAAGUCAAAAUAGUAGCUACACACCUUACACACAAUUUUGUGCGUUUUUUCUGCUCUGGAAGUGCACGGUCCAUUACAGCACAUUUUAACGGGUUGUAAAACCACACCAGUAGAUUGUGUUCAGAAAGAAGGGAGGAGCUGACUGAGGAAUUGACAAAAAAUAAAAAAUAACCGAACAAACAAAGGCACUAGCCACAAAUAAAUACCACAGAUAGAAAACAAAAACACAGUAUUUGAUUUUUAGGUAAAUUAUACUUACAAACAUAAAUACUAGACUAUUAAAACUAGAUUACAAGAAACUGACUUAAGAGGAAUACAGGGAGACAUCAUACCAUCACUAAACGUAAAGAGCUAUGGAAAUGAAUUUUAAAAAAUAAAAGAGAGGAGAACUGAUAUUAUCUCUCUUUCCAAACACACACAUACAGCUGUCAUCUCGUUGCAACAGACUGGGUCCACCGCUCUUUACCAGCCUUUCUUACACACAAACAUAUUCACAGAGAAUGUACAAUGUGGAGCUCCCGCACUUGCUGCUGACGGACAGGGGUCUCUGUUGUAGAGGAGGCAGAGAAACAGACAAAAGAUUGAUGCUUAUUUUAUAUACUGUACGUAAGUGACAAGUGAAGAAAUAGUCCUUUAAUUGACUGUGGGCUGUAUCUCACCAUCGCUCAGGUGAGUCCUUUGUGUCCACUGUGAGGAUAUGUCCACCCAAUUGUUUGGUGUCUGCCGCCUCCUCUUCUUCUCCUAUAGGAAUUAUCUUCUCCUCACUCUCUGGUGAAAAGCUGUCAGUGUCUGGGUCAUACUCGUAAGAAUAGUAGGACACCUCAGCUACAGAGCCUGGCUCCUCCCCUCCUAUUAAAUAAAUCAUUAUAGGUUCCUGUUCUGGUUCUUCUCCUGUAGCAUGUUCUCGCUCUUCUACAGCCACCUCCACUGU
Cyprinus carpio carpio is the source of this 1423-nucleotide long non-coding RNA. Lineage: Eukaryota; Metazoa; Chordata; Actinopteri; Cypriniformes; Cyprinidae. The record is from Ensembl.